This 28-nucleotide non-coding RNA is filed under the name Homo sapiens (human). Lineage: Eukaryota; Metazoa; Chordata; Mammalia; Primates; Hominidae. The record is from RNAcentral.
UGGGAGACAGUUGCUGAUUCCUGUUGCC